Molecule: long non-coding RNA, 907 nt
Organism: Chinchilla lanigera (long-tailed chinchilla)
Lineage: Eukaryota; Metazoa; Chordata; Mammalia; Rodentia; Chinchillidae
Exons: 4
Source: RefSeq, a predicted model, not a curated record
CAGCGCACCCAGCUCAAUUCCUCAUUUCUUCAGUUUCUUCAUGAGAAAGGGGAAGAGGACACAAAACAAGGUGGAACUGGACUUCCAGAGUCAGCUUCACAUGUUGGUUUUCCGUUGUCAUCGUUGUCAUCACACCCGUCAAAAGGCACCUAAUUCCCCUGAGCAAAGCCCUGGCACAAAAGCAGCUGAAGGAGAUAUGGCAUGGGAAAAGUAGCUGGAAAAUGAGCAGGACCUGUCAACUACAAGACACCCAGGCAAUACGAGGACCCCAUAUAAGGACUUCUCAUGGGCACCCAUGAAGACAUGGAAGGCACAAAAGAAGAGUGGCCAUCAUGGAAAGCCAACAUCCUAAGUUUUUCUUCCCUCAACCCAGCCACAAGCCACAAUCCCAAGGCAGCUGGAAAGUACAUAAUCCCUAAUCGAUAGGGUCCAUGGCCCUUCCAGCCUAUAACACCACGUCCAGAACAGCCAAAGGCUCAUGGAGCCAAGUUUGGGAUCAGUGUCACUGUCUUUUUUUUUUUUUUUUUUCCCUGUACCGGGGAUCAAACUCAUGACCAUGCGCUUACCAAGCAGGCGCUUAUGCCGCUGUGCUAUAUCCCCAGCCCAGUGUCACUCUGUCUUUAUUCUGCAACUACAGUAUUUAUUGUAAAACAAUAAAUCCACAACCUCCUUGCCCCACCCCCCAUGGGCCUGAGAUGGAACCCACAGCCUCAAACGUGCCAAGCACACAUUCUACCCCACCCAACAGCCACAUUUUGGUGCAAUUUCCAGAUCCCUAAAAACUACAAGCAAAUUUGUGUGACAAUUGCUCCCUAGACUGCCUUACCUACUUUACAGGUUAAUUAGGAAAUCAUUUAUGUAGAAGUGUUUUGAUAAAUAAAAAUGACGUGUGUGAGGCUGGGGUGCA